This 1685-nucleotide long non-coding RNA is filed under the name Homo sapiens (human). RNAcentral's name for it is "HSALNT0310672". Lineage: Eukaryota; Metazoa; Chordata; Mammalia; Primates; Hominidae. The record is from RNAcentral.
ACCAUGUUGUCCAAGCUGGUCUCGAACUCCAGACCUCAGAAAGGUGUGCACUUCUAAACAAAAUGGAGGCUCAUGAGCAAAACAUGCGGAGCUGCCCUGGCAAUGAAGUGAAGAGACUUGUAACUUGGUGCCUGAGCCUGUGCUAAAUGAGGGAGGGAACGGAAGGAGUUCAUUUGGAAUCAGAAGACUAAGUGAUAUGUUGUCGGAGGGACUUUGGAAUCCAGUUUAAUGGAAAAAGGAGGCCCCUGAGUCUUCAGCGUCACAAACAAUGACUGUUCCUGGACUUGUGUGACCACACAUCCCAGGCACUUAAAAUUGGGAAAUUUGGGGGAAGCAAGAUGGCCAAAUAGAACAAUCCAGCAAUUCUUCCCAUGCAGUAAUACCAAAUUUAACAACUAUCCCCACAAGAAAGCAUCUUCAUAAGAUACAAAAAUCAGCUCAUGAAGAGAGAAUCUGUAUGCUUGGGUGAGGGAGAGAGACAUGAUUGUGGGAACUGGUAUUGAAACUCAGUCCUGCCCUGUCACAGUGGAACACAGCACAGGGCAGAAUUUGUCCAGUGACCAUGGAAGAAGCAUUUAAACCAGUCCCAGCCAGAGGGUACUCCUCCACUCCAGUGGCAAGAACCCGAGUUCUGCCUAGCCCCACCACCAGAAACUAAAGUGCCAUGGAGUCCUGAAUAAAUAUUAAAGGCAGUCCACAAGGACUGCAGAACUUUGGCAAGUCCUUGUGCUGCACUGGGCUCAGAGCCAGUGGACUUGGGGUGAAUGUGACCCAGUGAGACACCAGAUGGGGUGGCCAACGGAGUUCCUGUAUCACCCCUCCUCCAACCCCAGGAAGUGCAGCUCAGGGAAAGACUCCUUCUGCCUGAGGAUAGUAGAGUAAAGAGUAAAAGAGUAAAGAGGACUUUGUCUUGCAACUUGGAUGCAAGCUUAGCCACAAUAAAUAAGGCAGCAAGCACCUGAAGCCUCUGAUUCCAGGCCCUAGCUCCUUGAUGGAAUUUCUAGACACACCCUGGGACAGAAGGGAAUCCACUGCCCUAAAGAGAAAGAUCCAGUCUUGGUAGUAUUCACCACUUUCUGACUAAAGAGCCCUUAGACCUGGAAUAAACAUCAGCAGUAGCCAGGCAGUAGUCAUCACAGGCCUUAGGAAAGACUCAGUACCAUACUGGCUUCAGGAAUGACCUGGCACAGUCCCAGCUGUGGUGGACACAGGAUUGCUUGCAUCACCCUUCACCAACUCCAGUUCAACAUGGCAAGACUCCAUUUGUUUGGGGGAAACUGAGGGAUGAGGACAAGAGACUCUGCCUGGUAAUCAAGAAAGUUUCUCCAGACUUUAUCCAAGCCCACCAAGGUGAUACUUAUAUGAUUCUGCAAGAGUUGCAACAUUACUGGGCUUGGAGUGCCCACUAGUGCAGAUACAGCUGUAGUGACCAAAAACUUAGAUCACAACACUCAAUUCCUUUUGAAUACCUGGAAUGCUUCUCAAGGAGGAUGGUACAAAUAAGCCCAGACUGCAAAGAUAAGAAUAAGUACCAAACUCUUCAAAGCCCAGACAUUCUGAACAUCCACAAGCAUCAAGACCAUCCAGGACAACAUGACCUCAUCAACUGAACUAAAAUAAGGUACCAGGGACCAAUCCCAGAAGGACAGGCAUAUGUAACAUUUCAGAACAGAGGAUUCAAAAUA